This 253-nucleotide ribosomal RNA is filed under the name uncultured bacterium. RNAcentral describes it as "partial 16S ribosomal RNA". It matches the Rfam family "Bacterial small subunit ribosomal RNA", at positions 524 to 776 of the family's 1533-position model. The record is from RNAcentral.
UACGUAGGGGGCAAGCGUUGUCCGGAUUUAUUGGGCGUAAAGAGCGUGUAGGCGGCCAGGUAGGUCUGCUGUGAAAACUCGAGGCUUAACCUCGAGCUGUCGGCGGAAACCAUCUGGCUAGAGUCCGGAAGAGGAGACUGGAAUUUACGGUGUAGCGGUGAAAUGCGUAGAUAUCGUAAGGAAGACCAGUGGCGAAGGCGGGUCUCUGGACAGUUCCUGACGCUGAGGCACGAAGGCCAGGGGAGCAAACGGG